UGUAAGUCCUCAGCUUCUGCAGAAGUUCACGGAGCUCAUCCCCCACCAUGGGCCUGACCAAGGACAUGCUGGCCAUCCUGCCCAAGUCGGACCAGUGCACCAAGGCCAUCAGCUAAAGGGCCGUUGUGUCCUCCAGACUUGGUGGACACUGGGCUCUAAUCCCCACUCUGUGGUGCCCCCUUCCCAUCUUUCCCGGCUGAACUCUGCCGGACCCCCUGCCCCACACCAGGAUCAUCCCUUGAUCUCCUAAAUAAAUAGAUGCAGAAGCUGU
Chiroxiphia lanceolata (lance-tailed manakin) is the source of this 271-nucleotide long non-coding RNA. RefSeq lists it as uncharacterized. Lineage: Eukaryota; Metazoa; Chordata; Aves; Passeriformes; Pipridae. The record is from RefSeq and is a predicted model, not a curated record. The transcript is spliced from 3 exons.